This 506-nucleotide ribosomal RNA is filed under the name uncultured bacterium. Its description in RNAcentral is "partial 16S ribosomal RNA". It matches the Rfam family "Bacterial small subunit ribosomal RNA", at positions 28 to 507 of the family's 1533-position model. The record is from RNAcentral.
GACGAACGCUGGCGGCGUGCUUAACACAUGCAAGUCGAACGGUGAAGGGACUGGUUUUGCUGGUCCUGGAUGAGUGGCGAACGGGUGAGUAACACGUGAGUAACCUGCCCCCUUCUUCUGGAUAACCGCAUGAAAGUGUGGCUAAUACGGGAUAUUCUGGGUCUGUCGCAUGGUGGGCCUGGGAAAGAUUGCGCCUUUUUUGGUGUUUUUGGUGGGGGAUGGGCUCGCGGCCUAUCAGCUUGUUGGUGGGGUGAUGGCCUACCAAGGCGGUGACGGGUAGCCGGCCUGAGAGGGUGGACGGUCACACUGGGACUGAGACACGGCCCAGACUCCUACGGGAGGCAGCAGUGGGGAAUAUUGCACAAUGGGCGCAAGCCUGAUGCAGCGACGCCGCGUGAGGGAUGGAGGCCUUCGGGUUGUGAACCUCUUUCGCCAGUGAAGCAGGCCUGCCUCUUUUUGUGGGUGGGUUGACGGUGGCUGGAUAAGAAGCGCCGGCUAACUACGUG